GAAAAGGCUCAAAUAUGCCAUCGAACUUUCAGAAAAGGCUCAUUUAUGCCAUCCGUUAAAAGUUUGGCUCAUCUAUGCCAUUACCGUUUAAGAAAAGGCUCAUUCAUGCCAUUAUUUUUUAACGGUGGUUUUGCAAAACCAUUUUUUACACGUGGCCAAUUAUAAUUCGGCCACGUCAUUAUUAUUUUUAUAAUAAAAANN
This 201-nucleotide long non-coding RNA is filed under the name Solanum tuberosum (potato). RNAcentral's name for it is "long non-coding RNA (STUB_LNC003029)". The record is from RNAcentral. Lineage: Eukaryota; Viridiplantae; Streptophyta; Magnoliopsida; Solanales; Solanaceae.